UCCUCCACAUCAAGAAAUUUUUUUUUACAUCAAACUUCUCAAAAUCAAUCUUCAGCCCACUGCUCAUGAUGUCUCAACACCAAAAUCACAAACAACAUAGAUUUGAUUGAGAAAAAAUAUUAUUGAUAGGCAACUUCAAAUCCUGACAUCUCCUCCCUUCUCCACACUCAACUUUGCUCUGAUACCAAUUGUUGUGCACCUUUUUUAGGUCGUGAAAUUUGAGAAUACCAACAAAAUUCAUACGAAAGAGGCGGCACCAGAGUUUUGCUUGAGAAGGAAAUGCCUCCAUUCUUUCCAACCUUUGGAGGUGGCGGCUCGGGUUUGG
This 325-nucleotide long non-coding RNA is filed under the name Elaeis guineensis (African oil palm). Its description in RNAcentral is "long non-coding RNA (EGUI_LNC009803)". Lineage: Eukaryota; Viridiplantae; Streptophyta; Magnoliopsida; Arecales; Arecaceae. The record is from RNAcentral.